RNAcentral lists this small RNA (203 nucleotides) under Arabidopsis thaliana (thale cress). RNAcentral describes it as "ATSL088300". Lineage: Eukaryota; Viridiplantae; Streptophyta; Magnoliopsida; Brassicales; Brassicaceae. The record is from RNAcentral.
UCGAUCCAAAGCACUCCCGCACCCAGAAGGUGUUCGAUAAAUGCUUGAUCCACUAGAUCUAGAGGUUUUCGUCUCUAUCCCAAGGGAUUGGCCGUUUAGAGCGUUUAUUGACUGUAAUAGGUUGAAUCGUAUUGCCUGCAUAGUUAGAUUCUGUUAAUGGGAAUUAGUUUGUGCUAGCUUUGCUUGAGGGUUUCUAUCACGAU